RNAcentral lists this small RNA (110 nucleotides) under Wenyingzhuangia fucanilytica. RNAcentral's name for it is "6S-Flavo RNA". It matches the Rfam family "6S-Flavo RNA". Lineage: Bacteria; Pseudomonadati; Bacteroidota; Flavobacteriia; Flavobacteriales; Flavobacteriaceae. The record is from Rfam by way of RNAcentral.
ACUCAACAUUAUAUCUUUAAAAAGGAUAAGUCUAUUGUGUUAAAGCGAGCUGUAAUUUUAUACAGAUACUUGAUCACAAUGUUAGUCCUAAAACAUGUUUUUUGGAGUUU